CGAGGGGUGCGGAAUCCCCCAGCGGGUGAAGCGGGUCGUAGGGGGUUAACUACCCUCCGCCAGGACAAAGCGCAGGGUGCUGUGUAGAGUGCAGUAGUGUAAGGGUAGGGAGGCGGUGCGACAUGCACGUGGCCUGAAGUUGUAACAGGAGCACCAGACUCCGGCAGGUUGCGAUAACUGGUCGUGUCCCACAGCGACAGUGUGGCGUCCUCACCAACGAUAGGUGGAAAAGGGCCCGUAGAGGUGACGCGGUGGGAAUAUAGCAUAUAGGACUGACUAGGUGCAGACCUCAGAGCGUUCCCCCCUUAACACACGCCAGGUUGAGCGGACACCGGUGUAACAAUAAUAAUAAUAUAAUAAACAAACUCUGCCUGUUUGAUAACGUCCUGCUGGGCCAUCACAGCCUGCGGGUACGAGAGCCGAGGGCAGCAGCACGCAGUGUAGCUACUAUGUGCAUUUCGUCUGUGUACGUAGCUCAGAUAGAUCCUGACAGACAGGGGUGUGUAGUUGCUAUGUACGGUGGAAUCACCAUUGUUGGAUCCGACAAUGAUCUCCGGAGAUGAACUUGCUUGGCCUCCACAUGCUGCUGCACAGCAGGCCUACGACUGGGACGCUGGUCCCUGGCUCGUGGAGCCCCGUCAUCAAUUGGAAGCAUGGAUCAACGUUAACGGUGCACCGUUCCGGGACUGGCCGCGCCAUUCCGGAACUGGCUGUACGACUCAUGAGAUGGCUGCAUCCCCGCUAUUUAUAUCGACAAAACGCUUCCAAUCGGUGUCUUCCGACACCACCAUCCGGUUGUGUUUGGUUAGAUUUACUAUAUCGGCUCGCAAGUCCUGCAUUACUUGUACGGCACAAUGUACAUCUUACCCUACACAGCAGAGCUGUAUACUUUGUUCAGGUUUCGGAUUGACCGGAUGGUUCCAUGGGCCUUAUGAUUGCUUGGGCAAGGUGUUGGAACGAGGGUGCCAAAAGCUUUGGUGACGGCAAGAAUGCGCAAAUAUUCUCGUGCAGCUGGUGGGUUUAAUAUGGGUGAAACAACACCACCUAUGCUACCCGCCCCUCCUCCUUUCAUCGCCUCGGUUGUUCUAUAAACUCCAUGACAGACUAGGCGAGGGUUAGUAGCAUACAUCCAUAAGUGUAAGGCUUCUCAUACUAUCGGAAAAACGAAGACAGCUAGCGCGGGCGCGAGAUGCCCUUAUCAUGAUCAAUUAUGUAUGUAUGACAGUGCAUGUGUACGGAAUGUACCUGCGAUAGGUGCACACGCACCAGCUCUUGACCAUACUUUGACUCCAUCAGCACCAGCAUCGGUAGCCUGCCGAGCCCGCCGACCUACGCAUCAAAUUGGCCAUAUCCACAUUUCGGACACGUACAGACUUUUGAAUCGGGCUGAGGCAUGUACGGCCUAAAAGCAGACAUAUGUAUUGAAGGCCAGGGCACAAGAUGCAAUGAAGGCAGGUGGUUCACCCUCACUUCACAAACGAUGGUGACCAACCGUGCCGGGCAACAUGCAGCAGGGUCAACGUUACUUUCGGUGGGUCUGUAAGUUUGGCCAGGUAGUGUCCCACACAUGCGAGUAGGCUCUAGUACGUGCAUACACUGCUUAAGGAGAGCAGCUCGUGUUGCAGCACCCUUUAACGUAAUGCUGUGGCAGGUGCGGUGGCCCAGAUAGAGACAAACGCAAGUGCAUGCUGUUAAGACUGAGCGGGUGCCGGAAGAAGCCCGCAGAUUUCAAUCAGGCCAGCAGAAGGACGAGCGAAGCAGUGGGUUUGGAUCCCGUACAUGUUCAGGCAUAGUGAGGAUCCAGGAUUUCGGGAUGCCCGGGUACCCAGCAGUGUUCGACACCCCGUACGGGGCCCGUAAGUUUUUGGCCUUUUUUCGGUAUCCCCGUACGGGUCCGUAGGACUUUGCGGUGGCUCCCGUAAAGAUUUUGGGGCGCGAAGCGCCCCGUACGGGGCCGCCCCCGGACAGGCCGAAGGCCGGUUACGGUGACUCCCGUAAGGAAUUUAAGGAUUUAUAAGAUGCCUUACGGGGCCCUGUAGGGGAGAGGACGGACCAUAUAAAGGAUAAGGCCCCACACUUGGCAGGCAUAAUUCAUAUUGCAAUAUGUAACUACACUUUUCAUAAUACUUUUAUAGCUUCUGGUCUGUAACAUCCAGCGAGGAUUUUGAUGAGGAGGAGGAGAACGCGAAAGAGGAGCAGAAGGGAUGGGCGGCCGCGGCGGCCAAGGCGCUUGGCUUUCGCUGAGUGUGCCGUGUCCCCGUGUGUAAUGGUUCACGGGAAAAUAACAUAAAUAACAAUUUACAGGGCAAAACAAAUGCAAAGUGUCACUUUCCACAGCGUUUUAGCCAAGGACAGUGUCCCCGUAAAGUUUUUGCGGGGUUACGGGGGCCCCCGUAAGGUUUUCGGCCAGUACAGGAGCCUGGUACGGGGGCCCCUCCGUAAGGAAAAUUUGGGAGGUUCGGGGGAUCCCGCAAGUUUCGGGAAGGUCAGUGUCGAACCCUGGUACCCAGGGUUAUAUGAUGUACCCGGUGGGCGACAUGUCUAACAAAUCUGGGUAAAUUUAAGUACCUCCAUCUCGGACUAAGACGGACUACGUGAACAAUCCCACGGGAUAUGCCAGGGGGCGCCCGAGGACGUUCGCUUGAGGGGCGGAGGACUGUAAGAAGGGAUCAGCUCCCCUUGGCAUUUCCCGCAAGUGCUCUUUGUCUGGUCUUACACAUUCAUGCACGUGCACAUCUCCUUGCCCUUCCCUAACACUCCCACCCUGUCAAUCCAUCCAUUGCCCAGCAUCCCAUCCAACAACGACGCGAUCAUACCAGGAUAAACUGUCCACAAGGACUGAAACAGCAGCAGCUGCUGAGGGGAGUACCUCGGCCACCCUGCAGUCCAAACUUGGUGCUGUAGCACAGCUCCCCUGUCUUGAUGUCCCAACAAUACAGCGCACCAUCUUCACCGCUGGUUGCAGCCGCCUUGCCAGCAGCCUGGCUAAUUGCACACACGUCCAGCUUCGUUGGAGCGCUGGGCGCGAUCAUUACCUUUACUACUGGUGUAUCCCUCGUGAUGUCGUAGAUGACGACACGACCUGACUGUGAGAUGACGAUAGCCCUUGUGCCGUCCUUUGUCGCAGCAGAUCCACAUACCUAAUAUGCACCAGUGUUCAGGUGGUGGGUGUCUGGCAGGACGCAGACAAACAUGAUGGCGGGCAAUCCCCGCUUGCAAGGCAUCACCGGCUACCUAAGAGAACCUCACCUAGAGCUACCUACGCAGUCCUCUUAGGCCCGUGUUCACAGCAGGCCGUCAUGUAGAUAUGCCGUACUAUUCAUGCCGUACUAUAUUAUGUAUGUACAUAGUACGGCAUGCCAUGCUGUCACUUUCGCAGUCCAACCCUAACAACACAUCCUGUACAUGCGGGCGGGCAGACGGACGGACAGACAUGCAAACAGACGGACAGACGACCAGACUGACAUAUGUCACACAACCGCCCAUUGGCCCACAACCGUGCGUGUGCAUGUGUAUUAGCCGCGGGCUCAUGCAACAAAUAAAGCAGCCGCUCGCGCUUAUCUCUUCCAGCUUGGCAGCUGCACCCUCUCAUGUGUCGACCCUACAUACCUGGUUCAAGUAAACCAUGUGUUCUGGUAAGGAUAGCGUCCAGACGAUCUGCAUAUUGGAGGCAUCCCAGGCCUGUACGGCCUCGACAGAACAGGUCAUCAUUAGCAUUGUCCCUUCCAGCGUGUGACUAGUAAACGCAGAUAUGCUGUUGACAGGGUUUCGAUGGAGGGCCUUUUGAUCCUCGCAGAUAGCCUUCCAAUGCCCUUCCUCCUGCGCACAAUUUACAUAAAAGGAUGUAAGCGAAAUAGCAACGCACAAGUACUGCUGCACACUAUGGAGACAUGCCAACCAGCAGAGAAGGUUGUGGCAAGGAAAGAAAUACAUAUCGCACUUAUUUUUGCUGAGCCAUCAGGGAAACUCAGCACGCCUAGCAUCAACACAUAAGCCGGCUCAUUGAAAUCUACCGCAUAGCACUAUAUAGCAGGAAGAAUAAUUUACUGAUGCUACAAGGCAGCAGAUGGAAAGCUACAGCCCGUGCGGAAGCACAUGUGCUGGUAUGGCGAACUCAUCGUCGCAGUGAUCCUACAUCAUUGCCAGGAGAAGCUCUGGGUACAGAAUCACCUUGAAACAUUUCCAUCGUUGAACAGAACCAUCGGCCGUGCAGCUGAAAAAUACAUUGCUGCCUGCUCCUUUGCAUACUGUGAAGUUCGGAUGCCCUAAGCUUACGCUGGGAGGAGGCGCUGGCUGCGAAGCACCGCUAUCGAAUUGGGUAACCGAGUACUUCCAAACGGAGGAACUGCGUCCUAAAUCCCAUAAUGAUAAUUCGUAAUUUUCUCCAGCAAUUAGGAGCACCUCGCCUAGUUCAUCGAGCUUGACCCAAUCGCAGGAUGUUGGUCGGGACUUGGUGACAGGAAUCCGCUUAUGGAAGGGAGUGCUGCCAUAGCUCGAGCUAUCUGAGCUCAGAACCCAGCGACAAGGUAAAGCUUCUUGUGGCAUAUCUGCAGUCAUCCCAGCUGGGAUGACUGCAGAAGAAUCAGCUGAUUGGAAGAAAUCUUCUGACUGGAGUUGCAAAUCUUCUGAUUGUGGCAUGUCUGCGGUCAUCCCAGGAGAAUCAGCCGAUUGGGGCAAUAUUUCCGAAUGGAGUUGCAACUCGAAAGAAGGUAAAGGAUGACUGCAGACAUGCUCUGCAGUCAUCCCAGAAGGAUCAGCCGAUUGGGGCAAUAUUUCCGGUUGGAGUUGCGACAUUGGAGUUAACUCCAACUCUAGAACUGCAGGUGACAUUGAAGGCCGGGUCAUCGAAGACAUCUAUCACGUAAUGGCGCCACACUCUGUCAAGAAAUCUGUUACGAAGUUAAGAAGUUAAUGAUAGUAGGUGUACAUGUUUUAGUCCCAAUCCAUGCGAGGCCAUGUCGAUGUACCCGAAGAAUUCAGCAGGCGGGAGUUUUGUACAUACAUUCUCUAAUUUCAGGAUAUAAGGAUUGUGCUCUACCUUUUGGAACUGAGGGCUCGUGAUUAAUUCAAGUCUACUAUUUUUCAGCGGGAGAGGCGGCUGCGCGUUCCUGCAUGUACUGCAUGAAGUUGCCUAGGAAGGACUUGCAGGAACAUGUGCUCUCCUCGUUACAACAGCCCUUCCAUCAAUAUAUUCUUCAGUUCCAUGGGAUAUGUCCUAAUGACAGCAGUGACUUACCGGCAACCAUUGAAACUGGACUCGCAGUGGUGCCGCCGAAGGGGUGCUAGGCGUCCCUUACUUGGACAAUAUGACCUCAUGCCUGUGCUUCGUCCGUGUGCACGUGUCUGCGUGCGUUCUCCGGCGAGGACAACGUUCGCGCCUACCUUAAGCUUGGAAUGGCGGGCGGUGGAAUGGCGGGCGGUUCACUCUAGUAAGGAAGCAGGGUGGCUCGCAAAAGAUGACUGGAAUGGGAAAUACUACUUCACCCAAUUUGAGACUGUCUCAUUGGAAACAAAUUUUCCCGUCUGCAAGUGGUCCUUCGAUGGGCGUGGGAAUUCCUUAGGUCAAAAUAGAUUGGGCUGCCUCGCUCCGAAACCAUAACGACAGCUGGAUCUUUACAAAGCAUGGGGAUUCCUCGGCCAAUAAAACUUGUCUGCCUACGGCAAGACCUUGGUCAAAACCGGACUGGGCAGUCCGGAUUGAAAAGUUGACCCCGUUCAAAACGACAGACCGAACUCCACAAGACCCCGGUGUUGUCACGUGACUCAAACCUCCCCUAAUAAUGAGAUCCUUGUCUACAUGCACUACAAAUCCAAUGUGACUCGCCGCUUGGCCAACUCUUCCCUGCUCAAACACCCUAUCCAUGCUUUUACAUUUUCCGUGAGGAACGCCUUUUUCUUCGCAUACCGCAUGAAAUAUUAGACAACUGUUACUUGGGCGGAACUCCAUCUUCGAAUGACGUCCACUAAACAGGCGGCUAACAUGGAGUAACCACUCUGUCUGUUAAGGAGUAGUCCCAAGGAGUUUAAUGGAAAAACCCCAGUCGAUAGGGAGUUUAUGAUGUUAGUUUAUCACCUUUUUGCUGCCGGGACUGUGCAUUCCCACUCCAUCCUGUGGUGCAAAGGUACCAAUAUUGCGUCUUCAUCACUUCUUCCGCUCAAUAACCUUCGACAACCUGACAAAAGCCCUCUUCGACUUGUCGCAGCUUCAGACCUCGGGUCGCUUCGGGGCUACGCCCUUCCACGAAGGCCCUGCAGCCCUCCCGCACAGGUUUGCGCUGCUGUAUCUGUCACUCCCGCGGUGCAGUCACAACAAACUCCUGUCCGCCGCGCCGUUCUCUAAUGUCUCUACUCCAGUCGGCAACACCCUAUUCCAGUCCCGCUCCUGCAUCUCCCGCUUACCCCCUAACCGUGACCACAUGACCUUCCCCCCUGUCCCCCAACCCUCCCCUCCAAACCCCCACACGUACCAAACCUACCAGGGCAACGCAGUCGCUACGACCCGCUGCUGUUGCACCCACCAUCAGCCAGCGCCUCCGCAGCAGCUAUGGCUGCAGACGCCGUCUGGUGGCACCAUCUUCAGGGGCCGGUGGAGCUGACUGAGGCGGCGGCGGCGGCGGCGGCACACUUUCCACUGGAGGGGCGGGGUCCGGGGGAAGGGGCGGGGGCCUGGAGGUGAGAAGGGGGGAGGUGGAGGUGCUGUCAGAGGGGGGCGGAGGGGGAGUGAGCUGGUGAUGGUGGUGGUAGCGGUGGUGAGGCGCCGGGGUUGUGUGGGUGAGGUCGCUGCAAGGGAUGGAUGUGAUGCCCUUAUGAUGGAUCUUAAAGGUCACUCAUGACACCACAUAUCUAUUUGAGCUCAUUUUAAUGCCGUGUGCUCAUUCAUGAGGUGCUCCUCGCAGCCCUGGCUGCCCGCCUGGUCUGCCGUACUUCCGUACGGACAUACGUGCCCUGGGCAGGGUGAUGAUCUCAUGCUGUACUGCGACACCACAUCAUCACAGGUCAUGCCCUCUCGCCGUCCGAUCAGGUCGUAUGAUUACCUAUCGUACAUGUCGUACCAUUUGUAGUAAGCUUUGCAUGAGGGUCUGGUGUUCUACUUUCGCCUUUGUGCGCAGGUUUGAGGACGCAGUUCUGUCUGUAGGGUUUGCCUGUAAAGGAACACACAGUUCGGCCGGUACAUACAUACAGAGGUUAAGGCCUGACUUCUGCUCCCAGUCGACCCAGUCGACCCGGGUUCAAAUCCGCCUGCCGGCUCCUCGGGUGUUUGAGGAGUGAUGAAAUGGGAGGUGGCCCCCCAUCUUAUGGACGGUGUAGGACGUGAUAAUAUCAACUUGCGAGCUGACCAGGAACUAAGUUGAUGCGCCGUUGAUCCGCUAGAUUUGGUUGGAUGCUGGUGGUGAGUUGCUGAACCCAACGAAUACGCUCUGAAGUCGGAUGGGGUGACGGAUUAGGGUGCCCCUCUAGCAGGGGAGAGCAGGGACUGCCCCGGGAAAGGGGGCCGCUGGCGAAGUUAACCACCCUGUAACAACAUACAGACACAGGCAGGCGGCUGGCAGAAGUUAAGGCCUGACUUCUGCUCCCUGUCGAUCCAGUCGACCCGGGUUCAAAUCCGCCUGCCAGCUCCUCGGGUGUUUGAGGAGUGAUGAAAUGGGAGGUGGCCCCCCAUCACAUGGACGGUGUAGGACGUGAUAAUAUCAACUUGCGAGCUGACCAGGAACUAAGUUGAUGCACCGUUGAUCCGCUAGAUUUGGUUGGAUGCUGGUGGUGAGUUGCCGAACCCAACGAAUACAUUCUGAAGUCGGAUGGGGUGACGGAUUAGGGUGCCCCUCUAGCAGGGGAGAGCAGGGACUGCCCCGGGAAAGGGGGCCGCUGGCGAAGUUAAUCACCCUGUAACAACAUACAGACACACAUCACGCUGCCAUCGCUUUGUGCAGCUCAGUCUCCUUUCCAGAACACCCACCCCACACGAUACGGUGUUCCCACCGACCCCCUCCCCCUCUUCCUCCUCUCCAUUUUUGCGUUGGCGAAACUGACAAUGGUGCAGACAGUCGAUUUUCAUUUUUUUGGUUUUGAAUUCCUCUCUCGAUCUAUCCAUCCAUCCCUUUCUCCCCCCUUUCCUUCCCCCUCACCUUCCACUCUCGCCCUUCCACAGGUCGUCCUGCAGCUGCCCUCCCCCGCCGCCUCCACCCCUCUUUCCCCGUGUCCCUCCGUGGGUCCUCCAUUGGGCGCUGGACGAGUGGUGCCCACCCCCCCUGGACUGCUGGUACCCGGGGACUGUACGUGUGGCGGGGGGAGGGGGAGAUGACGGACCGUGUCAAACACACUUCCCACCGGAUGGGCGAUUGGAGAUCAGCUUCCCAGCGGUAUGAGGGACAGUAGUGUGCCUGCGUGUGUGCGUGUGUGUAUGUGCGCGUGUGUGUAUAUGGCGGGGAGAGCGAGCGAGGGAAACUCGGGGUUGGUCGGGGGGGGAGGGAACGGAUGAACCGGACAUGGAGGGGAUGGGUGGGUGGGGUAGGGGCGGUAGUUGGGGGUCGUUAAAGGGAGGCUAGGGUUGUUAACCUCCCACCGGCUGCGGAACCGCAACGAUGGAAACAAGAGACCAACCCCAGGGCCCCUGGACGUCAUGCAGCGCGGAGGACAUACACACCCACACGCACCACCCGACCACAAGUGCCACAAGUGCCAAGACAAACCGUGACGCCAAGCUAGCCGCGCCNNNNNNNNNNNNNNNNNNNNNNNNNNNNNNNNNNNNNNNNNNNNNNNNNNNNNNNNNNNNNNNNNNNNNNNNNNNNNNNNNNNNNNNNNNNNNNNNNNNNNNNNNNNNNNNNNNNNNNNNNNNNNNNNNNNNNNNNNNNNNNNNNNNNNNNNNNNNNNNNNNNNNNNNNNNNNNNNNNNNNNNNNNNNNNNNNNNNNNNNNNNNNNNNNNNNNNNNNNNNNNNNNNNNNNNNNNNNNNNNNNNNNNCUCCACAACGAAACAUGUUGCCCAUGGUGCCCAACAAGUACGGUUUCGUACAGAACUGGCGGAAGGGAACGACACCGCACACGCCAGUCUUCACCGGCCACCUGAAGGACGUCACGUGGUGAGGAGGGAGGGGCUGUGGAGGGAGAGCAAGACGGGGAAAUCCCAGGUGAGGACUGGGGGGGGAGGCGGCGGCAACCUCUUAAAGGCUUUCCCUGGCUAGCCAUGAAACUCACAUAUAUAAAACAUUUAAUAGCUCUGCAGCCACGUAAAUAUGGUGUAACGUCUUACCUGGCGCCCCUUCUGAAUGCGAAUGCACUAAUUUGACAAUUAAUGCAUACUUCCCAUGCGGUCGUACACCAUACUACCGUACUUCCGUACCUGUCUUGCGCGUAAUCGUAUCCGCUUGCAGCGCGGGCCCAUGGAUUUCGUGUGGAGGAAAUGACGUAAUAGGAGUUCCACAUGGCGUCGUGGGUAAGUCCACGCGCCUCCAUCUCCUCCCCCGAGUAUGGCUUCAUACACAUGACUUUCUGGGAUUUGCACGCGGUCUUGAACGUGUCUAACACGGUCGUCGAGGCUGCUUUGCGGUUGCGGAUGAAGAUCAGCUUGUAGUCGUGGUUGACAAAGACGCCGCAUCUGUAGGACAUGGGCGCUGGCACCGUGACGUUCUCCCGGUAAACCACCUUGAGUAGUAGCCAGUCACGGAAGGCGCUCUGGUUAAAAAGCUUCUCGUCAUAGCGUUCCGCGGGCAGAGGACCAGACUUCUUAACCUCGCCAUAAACUUUGCUGGACACAGUGAUGAGGUCGCUGUAGUAGUCCGAUGGCGAUUGCGGCAGGUCUAUCGGCGGAAGGCCUUUUGCUGCGCUUAUAGUUGUAAGGAAUGCGCUGAUGAUGGAGAGCAGCUGCCAGAGGGAGCCGUGCCACAUGAAAGCUGCAGAGACAGCCUGCCGGCGAGACGAAUCGCGCGCGCCCUUUCCCACGUAAGGAGCCCUUGCGCCGGGGUCGGCCCCGGUGCCAGGACUGGCCAUGAGAAGCGUGUAAGGAAGACUUAAGGAAAAUGAACCUGCCCCUGCUGUUUCGUGCACUGACUGUGCUACAGCAGCCCUCCGAAUCGCUGGAGCCCUUAGAUGAUACACCAGACUCGUAGUUUAUGCAAGGCAAAGAUAACGUAAUGAAAUACGAUAGCAAAGCUCUAAGGGAAUCCUUCUAAGGGCUGCUUGCGGACAAAAUCCUUGGACCCGAAAAGCGGUAUGCACGUUACAGCCUGGGCUAACCUAGAUCCGCUAAAUCCGUUCUGAGUCAAGUUGCCUUUUCUUGUGAUCAGGUUGGACAUGCCAAACGUGUUUGAAGUAAGCGCAAUUCUGGGGCUCCACAGCGCAAUUCGAAUACCUCGGGCGAGCCUGCCAGAAUAAUUCAAGACCCCGGCGGACCAAUUCUUUUGUCAGGAAUAGAAUCCAGGCCUACUCCUACCUGGCCGGACGGUCUACAACGCCCUCAACGCUAUAUCCUGCACGAUCCGCUUUCCUUAUCCUUAUACCAGCUGGUCAUCUUGUAGGAUGUGGCUUCAUUCUCAUCAGGCUCAGUCGCUCCCGGCAGAUCCUGGUUAAGGAAACUGUCGACCUGUCAGAGCCUAUUAUAUAUAUUAUAUACUCAGGGUCGCGACCCCCCGACCUGACCCCGUGAUGUCUCCUCACCGAAUUUAAAAACUCAAGAAAGGCGCGUGGCGAAACCUUACCUGACCCCCCACACACACUUGCCGAUAGAGAGCAUCGGCUGAUCACAGACGGAGACAAGGAAAUAAAUAUUAUAUUACAUUUUACACCAAUUCAAAUCCCGGAACUGAAAAGCUGAAACGCUCCCCCAGGUGUGUACGGCAGACCCUACUCCAGGCAUCAUUGUUGGUACAGAAGAGAUCAAUACAAUAAAAAGAGACAACCCCGUGAAAAACCGAAGAAUUGACAGCGCACUGACAAAGUAAAUAGACACGUCGAACCGUCGGAGCUAACUUGUGUGCGUAAUACAGAAGGUCGGAACACAAUCCCCCCUCGAUCCCCACCGCCAACCGACCUCAAACCUACUGCCAAUAACAUUCCAUCACAUGACAUGAUCUAACACACCAAUGCCAUCCACAAACCGGCCAACAUGCCAGGGUCCCAUACCCCCGGCAGUGCCGCCGUUCGCCCGACCAGGUCCAUCCCAUCUUCAAGGCUAGCGAAAUGCAGACCUCCUCCGCAUCUACACCUAGGAACCGCGAGGAGGAGGAUGGGAAACACCAUCAUAAGUUAAACAACAUGAGGUUUCUUUAUGACGACAUGGCCCAACUCCGUCAUGCCAUGAAAGUUCUUGUGACAGUAAAAGCACACAGCGAUUACAUAGUAUUCAUCCCCACCACCAAUCACCACCGUACACGCAGUUCAGCCUUCCUAUUCCCGUACAACCAUGGACGAGCAAAGCUACAAAAAAACUAAAACCUAGCACUGCAAUAACCUACUUUACCGUUAAGAACACAACAAGACUUUACCCCAAGGAGCUCGUGACUCGGAAGGACAGCACACAAGAAACCUCCCACCACUGGCCACUGUAACAACCACACACACAGGCCACGACAGCCACAUGACAGGACACGACACGACACGACACAACACUAACACGACGUGCAAUGCACACGCUCGCUCCUCAUUAAGUAUAAGGAUAAAAAGUAUAGGACAAUUUCCCGAAUAACAACAAUAAAACACCGCGCCGCAGAGAAAACGUGCCCUAGGACUCAUCCUCUUCCCUCCCCCUUUUCCUUCCCCACCUCCCGAAAAGGGAGAGCGUGCGGGAGGAGACGUCAGCGCGCACGGAUCAACGGACAAGUGGGCACACAUGAUGUAUACAAGCACCACGCAGGGUGGUGGGGUAUGCAGUACUAGGCCCCCUUGCUCUCCCGCUGAAACCCCCCGGACGGCAAUGCGUCCUCAUCUCCACCUCAUCUGACUCGCGCGUGCGCCAACUUUACGUUCAACCGUUUACGAGCUCGCCCAAGCCGAUGUUUGUGUCUCGCCGCGGCAGCCUCAGGUCCAGAGCCACCCAAUCAAGACGCCGGGUCGUGUACACAUGCAUGUCAUAACGGUACGGACGGUGUCGCGACCAUGGGGCCUCUUAGUGGUACAUGAUGUUUGUCUCUUUUCCGAAAACAGUGGUGUACGACACGGGCUCAGACGUCCAGCCCUGCCAGCCGCGUUCAGAGCCCCCAGCAGUUCACAAAACACCGCUGCACUGCCAGUGCCGUAACCCAAGACACGUUAAACACGUACACACAUACAUGCCGGUCAGAAAACACCUUGGGCAGGAAAUCGACACCGCUGCUGCAAACAAAGCCAAACACAAGACCUAAAGCGCGACUUGACCAGACAUAAGGUACGCCAUAGUCAUAGGAAUCGGAAUCAGAAGACAAGGCAAAAGAGAAAUGAGAAGGCAAAAGAGAUGGCAAAAAGUGAAGCUCGCAACUAAAACUCCGCCUCCCUCCGCCAGCUGACCAGCUCAUCCCCAAGGCGCGUCCUUUGCCCGCUCGUCAACCCCUCCGCCUCAACCUUGACCCACCCGGCCGAGACAUCGCUGUCAGGUAAUACAGUUUGCCUCCCAACCACCAACCGACCGACAUGGGCGCAACUGUUCGUGAACUGUGGUUUGACGGGACGAGUCUGUUAUGGCUGCCCCUACCCACCCACACAGCAUGGAGAGCCAGAGCACGACCAAAAGAUCGCGCGCCCAAUAUCCCCCCUUCCUUCCCAAGCACUUUCAGACAGACCUCUCAUCUCAGACGGUCUUCAAACAGCAAUUAUCACCACACGCUUCAAUGUGAAACAUCGCGCCGGCUGAGGAACCACGGACAUGGAAACAAAGAGACCAACAAGUCCCUGGAUGACAUGCACACCCACACGCACCACCCGGCCACAAGUGCCAAGACAAACCGUUAACGCCAAGCUAAGCCGCGCCAGGUCAGCUGCGCCGCGCCGCGCUGCGUUGCGCUCGCACUAUGCACCUCGACGCACGUGUGCUCCCAGAUGCCGUGUUCAAUACGCCAAGACAUUCAGUAGAUCAGAAGACCAUUUCUCAAUACCAUGCGUGGUCAUACACACUGCGCCCGACACGGGGAUCCCAUGUACGAACGACCAAAUUAUACAUACGACAACAAAAACACACACGCUUUCAAGAGGAGGACAUAUAAACGCACUUUCGGCCACGACCCGCAGUUGAGGCCAAAACUCAGCCGGGGGAGCCCAUCCUCCUGCAAAUGCACCGACGACACGCGAAACACACACACGCGCUCCGUGAUCGACCAUCCGGGGACUCCCUGCAUUACCCCCGGGGGGAUGAUCUUCCCCCCGGCCCGCCCCUUUCCUCGGGAGGAUCCAACUCCCUUGUUGCCCGCGCGGUUUCCUAAAGAGGCACGACCUGCAUUCUUCACCUUGUUAUCUUCUUCGUCAAAAGUCAAGUCAAGUCAAGCCCCAGGGAAUUAGGCCGCGGGCCAGCGGGGCCUGGAGGACACCCCCAAAAUUUCUCAAACGCCCACGUCAGAAAUGCUUCUGCACGAGGUAGGUCUCUCGCCCAAAGCCAAAUGGCAAGGGCCCCCCGUCGCCUCCAACCUCCUAUACACCCCAUACUUAAAGUGGGCAUGGGAAAGGAGGGGGGAGAGGCACUGCGCCUUGGUGGUGUGCCGCCAGUCGCUGAGGCAGGUAGGUGCUGGUCUGAGUAGCAAAACAGCCAUAUCCAUGUACAGUCACCAAUCCAUGCCCACCAGGGGAGCCACCACAGACACCACUGCAAAUGGACCGUGCUGGAUGUCCGUUGCCCGUGUCCGGCAGGACCUUUCUGCUGCUGACUUGGCGGCCCCAUCCACAGCCAAGGGGGGACAACCAACAGCCAAGGAGGGCAGCGGGCAACAGAGCCGGAGCCCCAGGAGACCUCUACCACCACCACCACCAUCACCACCAUCGCGCACACUUUCGUCAAAGACCCGAAUCCAAAUGCUCUUUCCUGAAGGGUUGCACCGGGAGAGAAGUCCACAAUGUGGUCACCGCACAGCACAGCACGGCACAGCGCAAAGUGCAAGUGUGGUGCAGCAGAGUGAGCUAUGUGACACACCACAACUGCAGAAAACACACAAGUUAGUUAUCCACAAUAAAGAACCACACUCCCAAACCCAAGGGGCCCCAACGCUCGCAAGGACAUCCACGAAACGACAACACAACAGAGGCGAUCUACUGCGGCAAGGUCCCUCAACGGGGCGCAACAGUGGACCUUGACGCUCCUAUACAAUCAAGACGGAUGAUGAUGAGACGAAACGACGCAACGGAGGAUGGCACCCCUCCUUUACCACCACAUCGACAGCGACAUCAGCUGACGCGAUGGCGGGUCCCCCCUUCGAUCCACCUGCAGCUAAUCCCCCAAAAGCGCACAUACACACACAUAGACAUACACGCACAGAACACAUACCGCGCGCGAGGAGUAGCCACCCCGGUACCCCCCUACCUCCACCAGCAUUUCCCUUGCCCCACAUCGACUCGACCCAUCCGAUCUGACCCACACCUCGUCAUGCGUCACCAUAUACAUCGCGACAAAUUCACUUCAUACACUGGGCAUGCAGUUGCGCGCCUUGGACUUCUGCCACCGCUCACGCACCUGGUAGGUACAUGGCCCAUGCGGCGGGCGGGCGGGCGGGGGGACUCCGGCGAGAACGGCCCCUUAGUGUACAUCCCUCCCUCAUUACCUCUUCGCACCGGUGGAGGGAGAGAGAAUACUUACAGUGCCCCACCAGUGCCCAAACCAGGAUCAAACCCAACUCAAACCCAACACCAGCUAUGGGCCGUGCUAUGCGGUCGUGUAAUGCGGUCGUGCGCACCUGCACCCCGCCCUGUUUCCCACCCAACCCCCAAUAAUCCAAAAUGGAAAAGGGGGAACGUCAAACACGUGAGAUCACGAUGAUACGUCAUGAACCCAUAUGCACCAUGUACCAUGUUGCUGCCUCUUGACGUUUCUUGUGUAAGUAAAAGCUCAACUAAAACACAACUAAAAACCAAAACCAAAAUUCAAACUCGUCUGCUUGCAGCAGCGCAGAUAGUCAGAGCGUCUCGAGGAGCGCCAGAGCAACCCUCUCCUCAAGUUUCUUCCUGAGUGGUGGCGCGUCCGGGGGACAAUCCUUCCACCACUCAAAAAGCCACGCCGCGAGAGAGACACAAACAUACAUACAUGCAUACGUACAUAACACAUGUAUCAAUUAACAACCCGGUAAGCACCUAGCAUGCAGAUCAAUCUUGCCAACGGUUCUUUAGUUUCAAUCGAACCGAACCGCACCAACGGGUAUUUCAUCCCCAAUCCCAAAAUCCAAAUCGAUCUGGGUCAACAUGCUCUUAGCCAGCAGCGCACAUCGGCAGAGCACACAAUCCCGACAAUUUUCACAGCAGCUCACAACUGACUGACGUCGGCCCCCCUGAAAAGAAACAAUCCCGACAACGUAACCCAGAUCUGGGUCACCAACCAUCCACAGCUCCAACGGAUCUGAAUGGAUCCACACCAUGCCGUGGUGUAUCCCUGCCGACCUGCUGGAUCCAAAUUGGAUCUCAAUUCCAGUCGUACAGCGUCACGACCACGGUAAUGUCGUCCAUAGACCCCCUGUCCCGAGCCAGUUUGACAAGCUCCUGCGCAGAGGCCUUGGCGGCGGCAGCAUGCUGCGUAUUGAAGGAAGUCAUGCCCGUAAACUGCGGUGGCGGAUACAAAUUGUACGAAAAAUUGUAGUACGACAAAUUUAGGAACGGGGAGUCAUAUUUAAAGCGCGGGGGAGAGGGAAGAGUGGAAAGAGGGGCGGCCCAACAUAUAAGCGCACGUUCCAGAGAAAUAUGGCAACAUGCAACAUGUAAGAUACGAAAAGAGAGAGCUCCCGCCGCCCAGUGAACAGGGGCAGCAACCAAGUAUGUGUGGACGACCCACAAACUGUUUACGUACGCCAAAAGAAUCUAGGAUUUGCCCAUUGCCCUUUUUCCCACACCCUUCGCCCUCCCCCACGGCCCAACCACCCUCUCACCUUGUCAAUCACCUCCGUCGCCAGGUCCACCGCCUCCUGAUCUCCCACCACGCCCCACAGCCCGUCGCUGGCGUGAAUGGCGAACGUGUCCAGCUGUGGCGCCAGCACCAGCGCUGCCACAUCAGGCUGGGAAGAGAUGAGCGAGGCGGCCUUGAAGUCCCGGUCGCCAAAACCCCUGGGCCAAAGCCACGAGAAACGACGGGGACAGACACGCAAAUGACAGAUCACCAGGCUCGCGAGUGAGGAGGAGUUACUCUCCCUUACAAAACGCACCCGUUGGGUUUUCCCCCAAACUCACCUCUGUCACCCAACGGUGGUGACAUUUAGCUGUGUGUCGAGUUCUUACCAAUGUACGGUGUACGGCGUACGGACCACGCCCAGUUUUCUCAAGUCCAUGUAGCGGCCAAAACACAUCCAUCCACCCACGUGCACAACGGGGGAGUGGGAGGGCCACCACCGACAGCUGUAGCAACCCCUCCCCCCCCCCUCCCCCUCAUUUCCAGCUCCAUCGGGCACCAAGUUUGUUAACCCCCACCCCAAUCCCCUCCUCACUUCACCCCAGCAUCUCACCAGCCCCUACCAGUCCCUCCAUGUCUACUCCCACCUACCACACCUCCGCUUCCCCUCGGUCUCUUUCCUUGGCAGCAGCUUCACUCACUCGUGGUUCGUCUCCCCCCUUUUUCCUAAUAGUAUCUUAAUAAUAGUAGUAUUAUCUUUUCGUCAAUCGUCUGUGUUUCGUUGUAUCCUUCCCCCCUCCUUUCCCCCCUUCCAAGGGCCGCACCUGGACACGGAGCAGACCUUGGCUGUGCAACCAUCCGCCAGCGGCAGCACCACCCGCCACGUCCCCCGCACGUUGGCCACCCGCCCCCCCGCCGCCUCGAUGCGGGUGCGCUCCUCUGGCAGCUCCGGCUUGUGGUCGCGGGACAGUCUCACCGCCCGGCCGCCGCGACACAGCACCGCCCGGCAGUCCCCCGCGUUGGCGGUGUAGAGCUUGGGGCCCACCUGGACGCUCACCAGCGCAGUGGUGCCGUCGUGCUGAGGGAGCACACACACACAGACACGGCAUUGAGAUGUCGGAAGGUGGGGAGGGGUCGGAGGACACCAGGGGGCCAGGGGGGGAGGCAUAGGCCGCAUAUGCCGCACCCCGCGUGUAGGGGUAAUGGGAGCCCCCUCCCCAAAGCAUCGAUCGCAUUGCGGAUUUCAACCAAACUGGCAAUAUGCCUGAUUGCGCACAUGCGGGGCGGGAAGGAAGCCCACCGCUAACUUGACGUCCGCAAGGGGGAGGCGGGGGGGGCGAGGGAAAGCGCUUUCAUGCGCCCCCUUUUCCUCCCCUUCCGCCCUCCUCCUCUUAGUAUUACUUCUUCUCCGCCCCCUUGGGACACACAGUUCCCUUCCCGACCUCCCCCCCCUUCCCGACCUCCCGCCCCUUCCCGACCUCCCGCCCCUUCCCGACCUCCCGCCCCUUCCCGACCUCCUGCCCCUUCCCGACCGCCCGCCCCUUCCCGACCUCCCGCCCCUUCCCGACCUCCCGCCCCUUCCCGACCUCCCGCCCCUUCCCGCCCCUUCCCGACCUCCCGCCCCUUCCCGACCUCCCGCCCCUUCCCGACCUCCCGCCCCUUCCCGACCUCCCGCCCCUUCCCGACCUCCCGCCCCUUCCCGACCUCCCGCCCCUUCCCGACCUCCCGCCCCUUGAUACAGCGGUCCUCGGGUCCUUCCCGCGUUCCUCUUCCUACUCACCGGCAGCCCCCGCGCUUCCCCCUCCGCGCAAAUCCGGGAGUCCAGCUCUCGAAAGGAGCGGCGGAAGGCGCUGGUGGCCACCGCCAGCACCUCGGGGCUCACACCCGGCAUCUCCAUGUUGCGAGCUGGGACGGAAGGAAUUAGGAUGAGGCCGCCAGAUGGCAACAAAUGACAAACAUAACGACAAAAGUAAUGGGCGCCACAUCAUCUAAUUAAAUUCUUGUGUAAGUUCGAGGGCGGCAUCGCGAUGACGGACCCAUAACAACCCGUGGGAUUCAGGAAAAUUAAGGUCGAUAUAUUCCGAAAGGCUGGUACAUCAAACACCCAGAUCGCCCGCCGUGGUCCUCUCGUCAAGCUUGAUAAAUCGUGAUGUCUUUCAUCAUGAUACUGAAGGUAACAAGUGGCUUCCGUUAUCACGAUGAAAGACAUCACGAUUUACAUCAUAAGGGGGCUGCGGGUUUCCUUCAGUUUCGUGGCUUUUACGUUCUUGGUGGUUCUUUCCCCCCAGGCUCACAUGCUCCAUGGUUGUCAUUAUGUAUACCCCAACCAGCCAGCCAGCCAGGUGGAAGGGCCAUGUAGAUUGAAUCCCUUGAAUCCCGCCCUGCAUGCCGCCGCCUGUGUGUAGAAUGAUGCCCUUCCCUUCCCUUCCCUUCCCGAGCCACCUCCGCAGGCCCCCCCUGUAGGUGUUCUCUUUUUCCUCCAAGGAAAUUCUUCCCAGUCAGAAGUAAGUUUCGUAACCCCCACGUACGUACCAAAGCAGUCCAGGAGAUCUGGGUCAGACGCCACAGCCGCAAGCACGCUCUCCUGCGCGGUGCGCGCCGCGUGGUCGCCGGAGCCGUGGCCGUCAAAGACCGCGGUGAGGCAAAACGGCGCGCCGCUGUGGUGGGAAAACGCGGGACCCCGGGUCGCUCGCCAAGCGGGCGGGCUGAGAGACCACAGCGCUCCGAGCGCGUCGCUGACGGCGACGAAGUAGUCUUGCAUGGUCUGCUUGACUGGGCCCUUGGACUUUGGGUCCAGUUUCGGGUUGGGUCCCAGAACAGCGCCAGCAGCAGCAGCAGGACAUGCAGGGGUGGGAGGGCAAAAUCGGCCGCGGAGGAGAUGGCGACGGGCAGGGGUGCGGGUUGGCAAAGGGAAUUCUGCACACGGGUUGUGUGGAGGCCGUGCAUGGAGGGCUGUCCUCAGGUCGGGAGGUUAGGGUGGUCAAACUUUGGUGUUUGGAUAGAGAUGAUGGCCCGAUGCUAGGCGAAGGAAGCUCUUGACUUUCGGUCAAAGGGCUUUCAGUUCCUUCUUUUGAAGUCUGGAAGAUCCUGUUGAGCUGUCUGGUGCGAGCAGUUUUUGUCCCGCGGCCCGCGCAGUUCCCCUAAAACCCCAGUGACCCUUGCAAGCAACAAAACUGAAUUAAAACGCGUUCAACUAUCGUUAUAAGGCAUUAGUAUAGUACAGAGUCUGUCAGGGGACUCCUACGUACCGUGGCAAAGCCCUGCGAUAUGGCCGAGGGUGAAAUGCCCCCUCCGGGAAGCCAUUCUUCAGGGCAAGGUUCUUCCGUAGGCAGCUCAAUUGAGGUUUCCUCCCAGCUUGUUACCAGUAAAAGGUCACAGGGAAUUAUUGGUGAUGAGCCGAAGCGAUUCUUCAUGGUCCCCAAAAGCCCCCCUUGCAAAUCCUGUUGGCGCGCAAAGCGCGAGCAGGUACGGAGUUGUGGGCCUCGUGGCAUAGUGGCAUAGAACACCGACGGAUACAAUAACUAGCAAGUUACAAGAUGCGCAGUAGGCAGCAGUUCCGCAAUCGAGAAUCAUACAGCGAGCCAACUCGCCUCACGACUGCGUGGCAGCGGCUGCAUCCCUGAAAUCCUGCCAUUUGCUGGAAUUGUUGCAUAUGCAGACGUGCUUACGACUCCGGCCAACGGACUUGUCCCUGUGCAAAUAGAAGGUUGAGCGAGGGCGUGUACCGGACUUGCCCAGGCCGCCCUUACUUACCCCUUCCCCGCCGGUGCGGUGCACGAUGCAAUUGAGCGGGGCUCAGCUGUAGAGUCAACGCGUGCAUAGGGGUUCCAGCUACGGCUAAUGGCGUCAUGUUGACAGUUACGUCGCUGCCACGUUGUGUAGUAGCCGAAUUAGAAGACACACUGCUUAGUGGUUCAAGAUUUGCUUGGACGACAGAGUUAAAAUUGGUUGUUUAAUAUUGUGCACAACCCAUUAAGAGAGCAAAGGGACCAGCCAGAGCUCCAGAGCUUUGGGGUAGGCCACAUAUGUUAACCUAAACCCCUGCGCAAUCGUAAUUAUGUGCUACGUAGCGUAUGGCUCAGGCACUUGGACGGAAAAAGUCAUCAGCGAAAUCAAGGCUGUACGGUUGCUCGUCCCUAGACGACCGACAGAUGCACAAGUGCGUCGCAUCACAGCUGCGGUUACAAACGAUUGGAGGCUAGAUCAGGUCCGUAGUUAGCACAAAGCCUUGGCCCCUAAACGAAACAAUCGCUUCGAACCCAUUCGCUUUGUGUUACGAAAACCUUUGGAUGCAAGUAUUAUUGCAAACCGAAGCGUGCUAAGCUGUGUAAAGCCCGAGGAAAGAUUCCCCGGCUUCAGUAGUAUGGAGCGGCAGCCUUCCGCGGAGGUGAAGUGGAUUAUUGCUCCGAGCGAUGGGGUUGGACCAGCGCUUCUGCUGACAAUCCGCAAUGGUAAACGUCAUACAACACCAAACCAAGUGAGACUACCGUCAUAAGCUAGCGUAAUAAUUUCAUCCGGUGUCUAGGCUAUUCGUAGCCAACGAAACACUGGCGGCGAGCGCGCGCCGACGGGCGUCAUGGUUACCGGAACGCUAGUUCCUUUCGCAUGUAUGAACCUGCACCUAACAAAGACUUACGUCCCUGAAACAUAUUUAAUAUGCGUAAUAUUGGCCCCGGGUAAGAACAUCCCAAGGGAAGGCGGCCUGGAUAACUCUUGUCAUUGAAAAGUACCUUCCGACCACCCCAUAAGCGCCGACAUCCCUCCCCCUUGAUGUGUCGAAAUUCCCCCGUACACACCCAGUACUUAAUUAACGCGCCAGAAGGAUUUGCUCGACUGGUUUUGGAGCACCGAUGCCGGCCCGGCCCGGGCCUUCGAGCGCUUUUCCUCACCGACUUGUCCCAGGCAGCGCAGGUACGACAAGAAGUCACACUACCAGCUAAUUAACACAGAAAUCCUGCAUGUGUAUGUAUGUAUGUAUGUGUGCGACAGACACACACCCCAUGAGAGAGCCGCUUGAGGAGGGGAGGGGAUGACAGCAGUAUAUAGUAGCAGGCUCCUCUCUCUUCCCUUCUCUCCGUCUAUGCGUGGAGUGGGAGUCUUUCUAUCCCCGGUAUCAACAUCACUCGCCUGUGUUCCAUCUCCAUCUUUAAACACCCCCCCGCCCCUCAGGGGUGGCGGUUGCGGUGGUUGUGAUCGGGGGUUAAGACGAACCACUGACGUUUGAAGCAGAUACCAGAACAGACGGAUAAUGGGGGGGAAGAUGGGGUGGGAAAGCACACACACACACACACACCGUCACGUUCUCACAGACAUCUAUUUGGUUUUAGUCCUUCCCCGGCGCCUCACACCUGUAUCGCCUGGUGCACCCCAACCACACACACCCCCUCGUCUCCUCGCGCCCUCACACACACACACAAACACACACACACAAACACACACACACAAACACACACACACAAACACACACACACAAACACACACAAACACACACACACAAACACACACACACAAACACACACAAACACACACACACAAACACACACAAACACACACACACAUGUACACAGGGGGAACUCU
This 21550-nucleotide long non-coding RNA is filed under the name Volvox carteri. RNAcentral's name for it is "long non-coding RNA (VCAR_LNC003623)". Lineage: Eukaryota; Viridiplantae; Chlorophyta; Chlorophyceae; Chlamydomonadales; Volvocaceae. The record is from RNAcentral.